UAGGGAAUCUUCGGCAAUGGACGGAAGUCUGACCGAGCAACGCCGCGUGAGUGAAGAAGGUUUUCGGAUCGUAAAGCUCUGUUGUUAGAGAAGAACGUUGGUAGGAGUGGAAAAUCUACCAAGUGACGGUAACUAACCAGAAAGGGACGGCUAACUACGUGCCAGCAGCCGCGGUAAUACGUAGGUCCCGAGCGUUGUCCGGAUUUAUUGGGCGUAAAGCGAGCGCAGGCGGUUCUUUAAAUCUAAAGUUAAAGGCAGUGGCUUAACCAUUGUACGCUUUGGAAACUGGAGGACUUGAGUGCAGAAAGGGAGUGUGUAAUUCCAUGUGUAGCGGUGAAAUACGUAGAUAUAUGGAGGAACACCGGUGGCGAAAGCGGCUCUCUGGUCUGUAACUGACGCUGAGGCUCGAAAGCGUGGGGAGCAAACAGG
RNAcentral lists this ribosomal RNA (429 nucleotides) under Bacillota bacterium. RNAcentral's name for it is "Firmicutes bacterium partial 16S ribosomal RNA". It matches the Rfam family "Bacterial small subunit ribosomal RNA", at positions 355 to 776 of the family's 1533-position model. The record is from RNAcentral. Lineage: Bacteria; Bacillati; Bacillota.